GGUCCGCGCCUCCCUCCCCUCCACCCAGACUCUCUGCUCCCGGCCUCUACAGCCCGCUCGCAACCACACACCCAUGGCUAGGGUUUCGGGCAUGGCUUCGCCGGCGUGUCUCCGGUGGUCCCAGUUGGGGCACGCCAUGGGAGUUCCCCAUCCAUCACGGUCGCCGUUGUCAAGGGAUUCUUCAAGGAGAUGUCAAGGACGCCAUGGACAUGCAGCUCCUCAAGCGGAGGAUUGGGCCUCGCAUUAUUUUUUCCAGAAUUGGGUGUGGGUACUCUCUAAACUGGAUUGAGUGAGCUAAAUCUGUGCAUCAAAAUUGUAGUCUGUAGCUUUAUGUGUUACGUCUUAAGAUUGAACUUGAAGAUUGCUUUUGGGAGUAGUUUUAGUUGGUAGAUGUUUCAGGCUCCAAAUACGCACACAUUAUGUGCUUAAUGUGUGGCAUAAACAUGAUCAGUUUUAUGCUUAGAAACCAAACCACUUUCCACCCAUUUUAUUUCUUCAUGAGUAUUUUGUGUUGAAAUCAGAUCACCGUUCACCUGUUCUCGUACUGUUGUCUUUAACUUAUUUUGCCGAUUCUCAAUAAAAUGCUCAGUUCAGGAUGUGAUUUUCAGUUUUAGGCAUUUGAUACUUUUGGCACUGAGCAAAAAAAAUUCCUCUGAGCGUGUACCUUCAAAUGCAAAGUUCUGACUAUGAUUUCGCAUGCGAUCACACCGCC
This is a long non-coding RNA of Triticum dicoccoides, 712 nucleotides long. RefSeq lists it as uncharacterized. The transcript is spliced from 3 exons. The record is from RefSeq and is a predicted model, not a curated record. NCBI's taxonomy places the organism in Eukaryota, Viridiplantae, Streptophyta, Magnoliopsida, Poales, Poaceae.